Molecule: transfer RNA, 66 nt
Filed under: Phrynosoma platyrhinos (Desert horned lizard)
Lineage: Eukaryota; Metazoa; Chordata; Lepidosauria; Squamata; Phrynosomatidae
Description: tRNA-OTHER
Source: RNAcentral
GCGUGGUGUAGUGGUUUAAAUGUUGGACUAUGACUCUGGAGACCAGGGUUCAAUUCCCAGCUUGCC